This 432-nucleotide ribosomal RNA is filed under the name uncultured bacterium. Its description in RNAcentral is "bacterial SSU rRNA". It matches the Rfam family "Bacterial small subunit ribosomal RNA", at positions 29 to 507 of the family's 1533-position model. The record is from RNAcentral.
AACGAACGCUGGCGGCAGGCCUAACACAUGCAAGUCGAGCGCCCCUUCGGGGGAGCGGCGGACGGGUGAGUAACGCGUGGGAACGUACCCUUUGCUACGGAAUAGCCUCGGGAAACUGGGAGUAAUACCGUAUGUGCCCUUCGGGGGAAAGAUUUAUCGGCAAAGGAUCGGCCCGCGUUGGAUUAGGUAGUUGGUGGGGUAAUGGCCUACCAAGCCGACGAUCCAUAGCUGGUUUGAGAGGAUGAUCAGCCACACUGGGACUGAGACACGGCCCAGACUCCUACGGGAGGCAGCAGUGGGGAAUCUUAGACAAUGGGCGCAAGCCUGAUCUAGCCAUGCCGCGUGAGCGAUGAAGGCCUUAGGGUUGUAAAGCUCUUUCAGGGGGGAAGAUAAUGACUGUACCCCCCAGAAGAAGCCCCGGCUAACUCCGUG